UGAGGAAUAUUGGUCAAUGGACGCAAGUCUGAACCAGCCAAGUAGCGUGCAGGAUGACGGCCCUAUGGGUUGUAAACUGCUUUUAUAUGGGGAUAAAGUGGGGAACGUGUUCCCUUUUGCAGGUACCAUAUGAAUAAGGACCGGCUAAUUCCGUGCCAGCAGCCGCGGUAAUACGGAAGGUUCGGGCGUUAUCCGGAUUUAUUGGGUUUAAAGGGAGCGUAGGCCGUUUGGUAAGCGUGUUGUGAAAUGUAGGAGCUCAACUUCUAGAUUGCAGCGCGAACUGCCAGACUUGAGUGCGCACAACGUAGGCGGAAUUCAUGGUGUAGCGGUGAAAUGCUUAGAUAUCAUGAAGAACUCCGAUUGCGAAGGCAGCUUACGGGAGCGCAACUGACGCUGAAGCUCGAAGGUGCGGGUAUCGAACAGG
RNAcentral lists this ribosomal RNA (424 nucleotides) under Verrucomicrobiota bacterium. RNAcentral's name for it is "Verrucomicrobia bacterium partial 16S ribosomal RNA". It matches the Rfam family "Bacterial small subunit ribosomal RNA", at positions 355 to 776 of the family's 1533-position model. The record is from RNAcentral. Lineage: Bacteria; Pseudomonadati; Verrucomicrobiota.